Piliocolobus tephrosceles (Ugandan red Colobus) is the source of this 419-nucleotide long non-coding RNA. RefSeq lists it as uncharacterized. The record is from RefSeq and is a predicted model, not a curated record. Lineage: Eukaryota; Metazoa; Chordata; Mammalia; Primates; Cercopithecidae. The transcript is spliced from 3 exons.
GUGAGAUAACCAGCUUCACGGGUAGGUUAGCUCUUGACUGUCAGGAUUUCUGUUCUCUGCCCAAUAGAGCAGGGGCUGAAAAAUAUUUCACAAUAAUCAUCACAAUGGAGGAACCCUGCAGGAGCUGGCUGUUAUUUGACACCAGGCCCUGAGAUGAGCAUUGCAUGAAGAUCAUCUCAUUUACUUAUGUGCCAGGGUAGGCAGGCCCUUGAAAAAAAUCCCCGCAGUUCCUUUCAUCCAGAGCUUGGGUAGAGAAACCAGAGAUGGCUUCCUGGAUGAGGCAGAUCGAGAACCGGAUCACGUAGAGUAAAAACUGGAAAAAAUUUGUGGAACCCGGAAAAGAGUGUGUGCAGGUAAGCGAAGGCAUAGAGGUGGGAACAAGAGACAUGGUGUAGGUGGAGAAUUUGUGCUGUGGAGAA